CUACGGGUUGCAGCAGUGAGGAAUAUUGCACAAUGGGGGAAACCCUGAUGCAGCAACGCCGCGUGGAGGAUGACGCAUUUCGGUGUGUAAACUCCUUUUAUAUGUCAAGAAAAUGACGGUAGCAUAUGAAUAAGCACCGGCUAACUCCGUGCCAGCAGCCGCGGUAAUACGGAGGGUGCAAGCGUUAUUCGGAAUCACUGGGCGUAAAGGACGCGUAGGCGGGUUUGCAAGUCAGGUGUGAAAUCCUAUGGCUCAACCAUAGAACUGCACUUGAAACUGCGAACCUAGAGUAUGGAAGGGGCAGAUGGAAUUAGUGGUGUAGGGGUAAAAUCCGUAGAUAUCACUAGGAAUACCAAAAGCGAAGGCGAUCUGCUGGGACAUUACUGACGCUAAGGCGUGAAAGCGUGGGGAGCAAACAGGAUUAGAUACCCCCGUAGUC
RNAcentral lists this ribosomal RNA (439 nucleotides) under uncultured bacterium. Its description in RNAcentral is "partial 16S ribosomal RNA". It matches the Rfam family "Bacterial small subunit ribosomal RNA", at positions 339 to 795 of the family's 1533-position model. The record is from RNAcentral.